UGCUGAUAUGACUGACCAUGACACAUGGCAGUUGAUCUCUUCUUUUUGAUCGAAUUCAGCAUCAGCCAACUUGGGACUUUGAGGGUGCUAUAUUUUUUGUUUCUUUCUUUCUUUUUUCUUUCUUUUGAUUUGGAUUUCUUUUGAUUUGGUUUUGCACCCUCCUCUUUCUUUCUUUUUUCUUUUUUUUUCUUCCUUUUUGUUUUUGAUAAUGCCCCAGUUGGCUGUUCUGCUGAUUCUCGAGAUACAGCUGAGUGAUCUUCUUCUCUUGCUCAAGAAGUCGGGAAAUCUCGUCAGGAAUCCCUUCAACAUCAUCUUCGUCCGCUUCGAAUACAGGGAACUCAAAAUUGGAGAUGACGUCCGAUCACUAUGUUCAAUGGGUUUGAGAAACAACCUGCAUAAUGAUUUGAUAUGAAAAGCUCUUUGAAAAUCAAACAAGACAAUCGUUAUGCAGAUGAAAAGACUGCUUUUAUUCCUGUUUUUAAAGGUUUUUUGUGAUCACCAAUUUCAUGCAAAAAGCGAAAAGGGAAAACAAUUGGAAAAACAAAUGUUUUAACAUGAAUUAUUUGAAUGAAAAUAUCAUUGCACAAAAUGCUGCCAACAAUGUCAUCACUUCUCCUUUUGGCAUGGGAGAAGGGUUUUUAAACAAAG
Molecule: long non-coding RNA, 648 nt
Filed under: Lathyrus oleraceus (garden pea)
Lineage: Eukaryota; Viridiplantae; Streptophyta; Magnoliopsida; Fabales; Fabaceae
Description: Pisum sativum (pea) long non-coding RNA (PSAT_LNC013892)
Source: RNAcentral